GCUUGGGUCGCAUAGAGGUCGAUUGCGCCUGACUUGUAAUCAGGAGAGUUUAUACUCCACGUGGGUUCGAAUCCCACCUCAAGCU
RNAcentral lists this transfer RNA (85 nucleotides) under Ignavibacteria bacterium. Its description in RNAcentral is "tRNA-Thr". It matches the Rfam family "tRNA". From Rfam's summary of the family: Transfer RNA (tRNA) molecules are approximately 80 nucleotides in length. The record is from RNAcentral. Lineage: Bacteria; Pseudomonadati; Ignavibacteriota; Ignavibacteria.